This 468-nucleotide ribosomal RNA is filed under the name uncultured bacterium. Its description in RNAcentral is "partial 16S ribosomal RNA". It matches the Rfam family "Bacterial small subunit ribosomal RNA", at positions 28 to 507 of the family's 1533-position model. The record is from RNAcentral.
GACGAACGCUGGCGGCGUGCUUAACACAUGCAAGUCGAACGGAAAGGCCCUGCUUUUGUGGGGUGCUCGAGUGGCGAACGGGUGAGUAACACGUGAGUAACCUGCCCUUGACUUUGGGAUAACUUCAGGAAACUGGGGCUAAUACCGGAUAGGAGCUCCUGCUGCAUGGUGGGGGUUGGAAAGUUUCGGCGGUUGGGGAUGGACUCGCGGCUUAUCAGCUUGUUGGUGGGGUAGUGGCUUACCAAGGCUUUGACGGGUAGCCGGCCUGCGCGGGUGACCGGCCACAUUGGGACUGAGAUACGGCCCAGACUCCUACGGGAGGCAGCGGUGGGGAAUAUUGCACAAUGGGCGGAAGCCUGAUGCAGCAACGCCGCGUGCGGGAUGACGGCCUUCGGGUUGUAAACCGCUUUCGCCUGUGACGAAGCGUGAGUGACGGUAAUGGGUAAAGAAGCACCGGCUAACUACGUG